AACGCUGGCGGCGCGUUUUAAGCAUGCAAGUCGUGGGGUAUAUAUCAGCUUGCUGAUAUAGAGACCGGCGCACGGGUGAGUAACACGUGAGAAUCUACCCGAAGAUGGGGGAUAGCCCAUGGAAACAUGGGGUAAUACCGCAUAUUCCGCGAGGAGAAAGCUUCUUUUGAAGCGUCUUUGGAUGAGCUUGCGGUCCAUUAGCUAGUUGGUGGGGUAACUGCCUACCAAGGCGACGAUGGAUAGCCGGCCUGAGAGGGUGAACGGCCACAUUGGGACUGAGACACGGCCCAGACUCCUACGGGAGGCAGCAGCUAAGAAUCUUCCGCAAUGGGAGCAAUCCUGACGGAGCGACGCCGCGUGAACGAAGAAGGCCGAAAGGUUGUAAAGUUCUUUUAUAGGGGAAGAAUAAAGCAAAUCAGAGAAAGGUAUGCCGAUGACGGUACCCUAUGAAUAAGCCUCGGCUAAUUACGUGCCAGCAGCCGCGGUAAUACGUAAGAGGCAAGCGUUGUUCGGAAUUAUUGGGCGUAAAGGGCGUGUAGGUGGUUUACUAAGUGUGGAUUUAAAGACCGGAGCUUAACUCCGAGUAUGGUCUGCAAACUGGUAAACUAGAGUAUAGAAGGGGAGACUGGAAUUCCGCGUGUAGGGGUGAAAUCUGUAGAUAUGCGGAAGAAUACCGGUGGCGAAGGCGAGUCUCUGGUCUAUAACUGACGCUGAUGCGCGAACGUGUGGGGAGCGAACAGGAUUAGAUACCCUGGUAG
This 758-nucleotide ribosomal RNA is filed under the name uncultured organism. RNAcentral describes it as "bacterial SSU rRNA". It matches the Rfam family "Bacterial small subunit ribosomal RNA", at positions 32 to 793 of the family's 1533-position model. The record is from RNAcentral.